AGCGAGGGGAUCUGGGUUAGCUUGUUCCCCGAGAGUAAACAGUGAGUCAGCAGUAAGCAGUGAGUCAGCAGUAAUAGGUAGAUGAGCUUAUAACGCCAAAGACUGUAAAAGUACAGAGGCAUAGGAGGAGGCAGAGGACUAACGUAAGGCAUAGGACUAGGCAGAGGCAGAAAGGCCGGUUCGGUUCCAGUUCUAGUUUAAGAAGCAGCUAUUCCUUGGUGUGACCGUCUACGAUAGAUUUCUCUUUCUUUAAAGACCUUCUGUCUUCAGCGCUUAGUCAAGAAUUGAAUGAAUACGAGUUAGUUCCAGUUUCGUUCGAGUGCUAACGCUUACUCUUGGGCGUCCUUGCUAGUUUUUGUUGGGACAGAUAGAAUGGGUUUUUUUCCACUAUCCAAUUGAGUUGGCGCAGAUAGAAUAGGGUUUUCCACUAGCAGCUCUCGCACCGCUAAGAGACUUGCUUGAAGCUAGAAGAUAUGGCUAGUGAGCUAUCCGAACUCUCCUAUCUAGAUGAAAUUCAGAAAUUCAAUGAAAACUGAUAAUUGCACUUUAGCCUUCGCAUUCAACAUUCUCUUUGUAUAGAGGAGAAAAGAAAACUCGCGAUUCAACAACUAGCAUUAGCAUUGAGAUAAUCUUCUUAAAACGAUUCAAGUCAAACAGGAAAAUGGAUUAGCGCAGAAACGGAAUAUAUUAUUGCCCCCGAAAUCCCCUUGAGGAUCCGAACGAAACUUGCUGCUUUCUCACAGCCUAAGAUCCCGAGCCUGCUCUUUAUUACUAAGAUUGAUUCUUCCUAUGUAAAAGCUAACUCCUUAAGUGUAGAAACUCCAUUAGCUUACUAUCUUGUUGCAUACUUGCUUGUUUAAUUGAGCCUAGAUUUGAUAUACUCCACUUGAUACAAUGUUAUAUACUCCACUUGAUACAAAACGAGAUACGUGUGACUUGAGACUAUGAUACUUAUCAAGCAACAACAGUUGGACCAGUGAGACUUAUAAUACUGCACUAGCCCCCCGAAACCAAUGAAAUCUAAUGCACAACACUAAUAUAUAAGAGAAAAGUAGAAACAAGAGCAUUGCUUGAAGCUAUUAGCCCACGUAGCGUUAUCCUCUCUCUAUUCAAGGGUUCCGGGAAGAACAAGCCCUUGUGUUAGUGAGUGAGCGCUAACGUACAAAAAGCGCUUAUGCAAGUUAUUACUUCAUCAUAGGUGCUUGGUUUGCUUGGGGGCAAAGUGUGGUUUGGUGCUUGUCCUUCUCAAGUCGAUGUCAACUUUACUUCUUUUGCUUAUUCAGAUCUUGUGCUUCUCUUGGGGCUCUAACGGAGCUAACCCUUGUUUUAAGAUACACUCUAUUUCAGUGCGCGCAUGAUAUGAUUAAGUUGGGUCGGGUCCGGCAAUCAAAUCUCUGUUACACUUCUCUUAUUGAGGCACCGAUACCGCUAUCCCUAUUUCAAAGAUAAGAAUGCAGUGAGGCCUUUUCGUUGAUUCCAUCUAUGAUGAGACUGUACAUUGCUUCCUUUCUUCCAAAGCUGACUAGGGUAGGGCACUUGCUUGUUUCAAAUCAUCUAUCUAUCUCGCACAACUGAGAGACCUAUAGAGCUGUAACCUAUAACCUAACUGCUUCCAUGUUGAAUGAAGCACCGAUAUCCCUACUUGUUGAACUCAGCCAGCUAGGCAGCUUCACGCUAGACUCCAUUGAUUGACUUAUAGCCUUUAGUCGUUAAAGAAGCAGGGUGAGUUAGGUCUACUCGAUCAGACAACUUUCUACUUUACUUCGAGCGGAUUAACCGAGCCGAGCUGUAGACUGAGUUUCUUGUUCUAUGUGAAGUAACUCGACCCCUAAAACAAUUACCACUAAGCAAAGUAAGGCCUGUGUGAAGUAACUCGACCCCUAAAACAAUUACCACUAAGCAAAGAGUUUCUCAGUGUUUUUAGGAGCAAGACGUUCAACGAGUGUUGUCGACGAGAAUAAAGCUGCGGUGUUAAGGUCAGCAGAAAGUCAGUCAGCAGCAAGACCUGAAAGAAGAGUUCGAGCACGAGCAUCGUCUGCCAGAGAAGUUAUUGGUUCUAAGUCAGCUUCAGAAGGAAUAGGCCCAGACUCCGUUUUCAGAUCAUCUUCUGCUUCCAAUCCGGAUACUGAUCCUGUUUAUUCUGUUGGUUGUUCUGGUGCUGAUACACAACGUCUUGUCUUAUUGGGCCUAGACCCGGGCCUGGUAAUACUUAACGCUGAAGCCAACCAGUGAUUUCGAACUCCUAUAAGGCGCAAGUAAAACAUUAAUUGAUGAACGGAUACUCUCUAACACAACCAGUGAUUUCGAACUCCUAUAAGGCGCAAGUAAAACAUUAAUUGAUGAACGGAUACUCUCUAACAUAGGAAUGAAAGAGCACUGCAACAUUGAAGUGAAACUCUGUUAGCGCACCACCUCUCAUCUCACAGUACUUAUGGCAUCAAAACGAGUACUUUUUCUUGAUUCGGCUUUUGCUUCUUAAUCAGAGAAAACUCGAACGGGCCAAGCCAAGUAACUACGACUUAUAUAGAGAAAAAGGGUGGUUUAGAGAUGGGUUCACAAAGCUAAUGUGUCGUCUACCUUGAUACCCGAGAGUCACUGAACUUAUAGUUGUAAAUCCAGUUCCAGCAGAAUAAUAAUAAGAUGAAAAGAAGCCUUUGUCUCACCUUUAAGCAUACGAGAUUAUGAUUUAUAUUCAAUACUGUACCACCUUAUUUGUCCUUCUAACAUCUGCAGAGUGAAUCCGAGACAGUGACGUAACUCUUCUUUUAAGAGUCAAUCGGGUAGCAGCAAUAGCUUUUAGAAACUAUGCCUUUCGUCUUUCCAUCCUAUAUUUCAUUCUAGUCUGUCUGUUAUGGAUUCCUUUGUCGGGCUAGGGAGUCCCAUUGGGGGUUUGGUCGGAAUAACGCUCCUGCAAUCUCCGGAAACUCAGGACGAUGAAAUUCAAAUAAAGAAGAAAGCUGCUUCCCGGUUUGAUGUAAUUGAAGUAUCGUUUUUGUGUAUACUCAAUCCACUUAACGUAUCUAUCUUUGAUGGGAAUAUGGCCCUCUCUACUUUGUACCCCAAUCCUUUAUGGACAGCGAAGCGAAACUCCAUGCUCUCUUUCUUAGGUCUUUGUUUUUGGUUUUUGGAAGAGUAGGGCGACUUUAGCUAUCAAAAACAACUCAGUGGAAAUGCAUUUCUUUGAUUUCGGAAAAUGAGAUAUUGCAUUUGGUUUUUUGCUCACAACCUUUGGUUGACUUAAACCAUUGGUGUGUAAGGGACGACAUAAUCUUAGAUAGCAUCCAAGGACGCCCCCAAGUAAAACAUUGCCACUCACAUCUUUGGAAUUGAGAAAGUAGUCAAAUGCCCGGAGACCCAUGCCUACAAGAAAUCCAAGGAUAGUAUAGUCAAAGUAUCUUGCUUGAGGCCAAUCGAUGAAUAGCAAUCAAUCCUGAAACGUUUGAGCAUUCUAGGGGAUUCAGAUAAGAGUCCAUCCCCUGCUAUCAUUAUUUUGCUUAUCUCCAAUCCAUUAAGGUAUCCAACAAUGAAUAAAGGCCAGGUCCUAUCUUAUUUCCUUUCUGACUCCCUCCAUGCGGAUCCGAUAAUGUCAUCUCCUCUUCCACUUUUGGAUAAUUAUUUCUGUAUGAAACAUGUAAAUCCUCUCUAACACACUUUUCUCGAAUCGAACUUCUGUCGUUUCUUAUUGUACUCGUAUUCACUCUCGUCUCCUUCGUUCCUCAUCCCAUCCUUGUAUUGUACAGCUCAGCUUCCAUUUAGAUUAUUGUCAGCGUCUUAAACCCUUGAUUUUUAUACGGCUCCAAGUUCCUGGCUUAAGAAAGAAAGCGGGCCACCAUAUUUCGAAAAGUAUUCCUAUAGAAAUGCGCUUCCAUAGAGAGUGUCCACAGGAAGACAGCUUUCUGACUUAGGUGGAAUAAGAAUUGGAAACUCAACCAAACCCAUCGGGCUUACUACUUGAAGGGAGAAAAAGGCAUGGGUCGAAAGGAGUCUUUAUGAUGGGGAAUUGGAUCCAUGGCUGUCGUAAAAUAAGGCUUUUCUAUAGGCUCUUCUAUAAUGGUAUAAUGCAAUUCACUUUUCUUAUAUAUAAGAUAUCAGAAAGCUUGAAAGGCGUACAAAGAACGAGUGGAGUUCUGGCCUCAAUUGGUUUUUAAGGAUUCCCUAUCUCUGGCGAGUAAGCUCACUCCAUUUCCAUCGACCCUGACUCAUUAGAAUAAGAGCAUUUUGAUCUCCAUAUUGACAAGGGUAAGAGUCUAAAAGCAUAGGACCGAGAAAGUGGCACGUUAACAGGAAUAUGCCCUAGCNNNNNNNNNNNNNNNNNNNNUUCACCCUUAUCUUACCCUAAGAAAUAAGAUGAAGCUAAUAUUGAACCAUACUCUCUAUUUGUUGCAUUAUCCAUCCGAUAUUCUCUAACCUUACUAUGAAGCCUCAUCUUAUCAUUAGUUGGUCUCCUCGAUACUAUAUUAUAUAUAUUCCAGUAUUACGCUUGACUCGCAUAAUGGCUAUUUAUGUUCGCUCGCUUACUAUCGAUCGGGGCAUACUGUCCCUAACAUUAGGGAUGGAUGGCUAAAGGACGAAUCAUACAAUCAUCCUUAGAAAAGGGUACGCAUAAGGCUUACUUUAACUAAGACACCACUGGCUUGAGGCUGAAGGAGCAUUCACACGCACUGAUUUUCUUAUCCCACCUACGAGUCUAUAAAUAUCCAAAAGGCUUACAACUGGAAGGCAAGAAUACUAUCCAAAGGGUAAUUGAUUGAAAUAGAGUAGAGGUCCCCGCAUCUAUUUCGUGCAAUAACUAGUAUCCGGGAGAAUCAAGUACUUACUUUCGGGCACUUUCGUUUCGAUAUUGCUUGUAAAGCCCGUCACUUCUACUAGCCUACCCUUAGUAUACUGGCUUGGAACCAAAAGUGAGUGGAAAGGAGAAUCGAAGGAGUGACUCCAACUUAUGUAAGCUUUCUACUUUCACGGAAUAUAUCUGAAUUAGGGCCACUCGAUUCGUGCGUCCCGGCUUAUACUCGAUCCACAUAUCGAGAACUCAACCCAGAAGUCUUGCUACCUUGCUUGCUUAGGGCUGAGUUCGCUUCUUCUGUGUUUGGAAAUAGCUGGUGGCUAUAUUAUCUGUUCGCGCACUAUAUUCUUCUUUCUGAACGGAAGGGCUUGUGGUUCAUUACACCAAAGGCUUUCUUUGAACUAUUGAAGCUAUCGAGAGAGUACCAAAUGCGGACGGUUACGAAGGUUAGGUUACCUACUUUCGGUGGACGCGGAGCCGCCCUUACUCCACCACGAACAGCGUAACGAGUCUAAGGUUACAGAAGCGUUCGCCAACUUGGAUAGGCAUAGCUUUGCAAGCAAAUAGAGAUAUCCCCGCGUCCUUGCACGGCUCGUUCUUCUUGCCCAGCUUCUCCCUUCCGACUCGACUCCCCCCGUUCUACCGUCCUAAACUUGCCGUAUGGAGUAUAGCCAAGUGGUAAGGCAUCGGUUUUUGGUACCGGCAUGCAAAGGUUCGAAUCCUUUUACUCCAGGGUCUUUCUUCCAGCUUCCUAUUGGCUCAUGGGUGUAGAUCUGGAAGUGUGCUAAAGAUUAUUCCAUAGUUGGAUGGGCUUGAUCACUACUGGCUCUCUCCCCAACAAACUCCGGAAGGCUUUUGAUAGGCCUGAGGCUGCAGCAGUUUUCUCAUUUCAGUUAAGGAACCCAGUGCAUAAUGAGCAUGCCCAAUUGAUGAAUGAUAGAGGCUGGCGUCUUUUGGAAAUGGGUUACCAGAAUCCAAUUAUACUGCUGAAUCCUUUCACAAAGACUGAUGAUUGCCUUUUUUCGGAUUAAGAAGACAGCAAGCGGAUUUGAAGAUAUUGAAUAUAUCCAUAUAUUGCCUUUACUAAUGAUGAUCUGAUGAGUUAUGCUGUUAUAACAAACAUUUUGUACACCCUAUAGAGUCUAUUUGGAAUUUGUCUUUCCAAUGGUUAUUUGCUGUGGAAUGGAUGUUCAUGGAUUUGUUUUCAAACUGGUUCCGCUAUAGAAGAAGAGAAGAGAGAGAGAUUUCUAUUACCCUGAUCAUGGAAAGAAGGUGCUAAGCCAUGGCUCCCACUCCGGGUUCUUUAUAACCCUAUUUUACAACACUUGACUUCACUUACUAUUUUACAACACUUGACUCUUUACUUUACUUAACUUGACAACACUUUACAUACAUUACUUUACAGUCUCGCACUUCAUCCCGUAACUAUGCAGUCGAGUAAGCACCGAUUAGGUUCAGUUCUCCUCUCAACCCCUAAAGGGCUCAUUCUUUUUAUGUUACUUAUGCAAACUCCCUUUGUGUAGCUGCUAGAAUUGAACACAUAUCAAACUAAGGCGAGAAAUAAGUAGUUGCCUGGGAAUGCUGCUGGGAAGGGAAUGAGUUGGCGACGAAAGAGAGAGAAUCAGUGAAGCGAGAGGAUAAGCAGUGAGGAGUAAGCGCUUAUCUUAUUAGUAGCAAGAGAAAGAUCAAUUCCAAUCUUAGAUGCAACAAGCAACUGCGCGAUUCCAUUCUUCAAGCAAGUUAGCAUCCUUCCUAUAGGCCUUUAGCCCACUGAUCAAACCCCCAAAAGUCAUAAGUGAGUUUCGAGAACAAGAAAACAAGCAAAUAAGCUACUUAAGUAUUAGUUGACUUGACCACUUCUCAUUGGCCCAACUCUGCCUACUGCUCUAUGUCACAAGUAUCAAGUUUCUACGAAAGUAACCCUGAAUGAAAGGAAGCAAUGAGUCAGCAAAACAAGCUAGGGCAUAAGUAUAGAGUUGCGCUAACGCGAGUUUGAGUUUCGUGGAACAAGCUUAUGGGAGUGGAAAGCAAGGGCCAGAAUCCAGAGUACUAGAAGUCAACUAAUUCCAUUCCAUUCUUCAAGCAACAUAACAAGCAACGUUGAUUGGCUCGCUAACACUUGCACUUUUCUGGUUUCGCCUAUAGCUUCCUCUUGCUUGAUUGGAGUUUAGGCCAGUGUAACGCGCUUCUUCUUUAUUUGAGUUUAGGCCAGUGUAACAAGUAACAAAAUCAUAUAAGUCAACAAUUCCGGAGUAGUUACCUGACUCUGCUCGCACCUUAUCUUGUUCCCUUGCUUUCGGAUUGUGAUCGACACCUUCUCUUGUUCCGUUGUGCUAACGACAGCUCAAGACUAACGCUUAUUCGAGUUGUUAGGAGUCAAUAGGUUCUUAUUGUGUUAGGUGUCAAGAGGGAGGUUCAUCUCUUAUAGGCGCACUUACAUUCAUUCUCCAUAUCUAGUCGUUGCGCUAACAGAAGCUUUUCCUUGAGGGUCAGGUAAGUCGCAGCCGUUUCGAAGCCGUUGUGCAUUGAGCCAGUAGUUAACCAGCGAGUUUCGAUUCUUCUAAGUAAACAGUGAGUUUCGGUUAAUAAGUUCCAGAAGUCUUACCGACCAGAGGUGUGUGUUAAUUAGUGCCACAUAAAGGUGCUGAAAGCCUCAGGUAUCUCUUUCUGUCCUUCUGAAGCAGUUAAUGUAGAAAGGAAGUAAGCUCGCAAGAAACAAGUGCUAAUGGGAAUUGAGAGAUAUCAGAUGCAAGAGUUUAGUAGUCAGCUGGUUGUUUACCCUCCUAUAGUUAACCUUAAUAUAUUCUAUCUUAUAGUUAACCUUAUCCUUAUUAUAUCUUCUAGUUGACCUUAAUAUCUUAUAUCUUAUAUCUUAUAGUGUACCUUAAUAUAUUCUAUCUUAUAGUUAACCUUAAUAUAUCUUUGUUAGCGAGUUACUUCAUCAGCAUUAGCUUACUUUUCUCUUUUUGGGCGCUAGGCAAGCUCGUUCUUUCUGAUCUUGACACGAAGGGGCGUAGCGGUAGCUUUCGUAAGGCCUAAAUCAAUUCCUUUCUUUUGCCUGAGUGCGUUAGCUUCGGUGUUUGAACAAGCAACAAGGGCGCCAGUAGAUACAACGAUAACACAGGGCCCUCGCCUUAGUGCAUUAGUGGAGUUUCGGUUCUUUUUCAGAAGGUUGGUUUUUACAAAUUCUCAUAUGUCUGGCGCAUCUCCAUUCUCUUCUUUUGACUUUCUAGGGGUGGGUGCCCUUUUCUUUGACUUUCCAGGGGUAGGUGACCAGCUGAUAGAUUCAAGUUUUAGUCAGGAGUCAGUCUAUUAAAGGGGGGAAGAAAAGGUGGGUUAGUUUAAAGCGCAAGCAAAGUCAACUGCAAGCGGGUCUUCAAGGAGAGUUCGGGUUGCCCCUAAGGCUUACUCUCGGGGGGAACAAGUCAAAAAGCAAGCGCCAAUAACCUAGACAACACGAGAACUAAACUAUCGCAUUCCAUACGUACCGCUGACUUCACCUCUGAUUCCAGAAUUACUGUUUCCAUAAGAGACUCCAUAUCAUUUCAGGGCCACCCGAGAACAAGACUUAGAACUAGAGCACCAACACAGCUCUCUUCUCUUGGAUACUUUCUUUUGACUUAACUCCUUCACUCAUCUAUUUCGUUUUCAAUUCCCUAGUCCCUUAUUUCUUAUCUUAGUUCUUAUGACUCUUCCUUUAUACUCUGCCUUUCCUAUUGCCUUAACUGGCCAUCUUCUCUUGAAACAGCAGCUUAUCUUGCCUCGCCUCUAAGAUGGGAAUGGAAUCUAUCGAACACAUGUGAUAUAGAAGACAGUAAAGACAUAGCGAGUUCACCCUCUCGCCCAGCUCUUCUCUUCUUCUCCCGCUUAUGACAAAUAGGAAGCUGCUUCCCUAUCUGUGGAAUCUUAUUCUUCUCUUUAUACUGUUUCUUCUCUUUCAACAGCUUAUGAUAUAGUCUACUUUACUCUAACUGUUUCUUCUGUUGCUUAAGAUCCAUAUUAAUCUGUGACUUCUGGUAAGAUUGGAAUUGUAGUUAAGAGCGCAUGGUUAGUGACCUUCUUUCUGAUAUAAUACCUGGUGGCUCAAUACGAAAGAUUCCAUUUCUUCCUUGUGGACUCGCCAAUAGAAUCCAUUCUAGUUUCAGGAGAGGUCGGCCAAUUAGUCAAGUACUGGUUUUGAAGCGAGGUCUAUAAACAAGCUAUAGUCAUAACUAUAUAUAUAUAUUAUGUUAUUGUUUCGAGAGUAUCUUUCGGUUCGAGAAUCAUCCCGAGUAGAAUUCUAUGGAAAGAAUGGAAUGUGAAGGCGGUUAGCAGCGAGAGAAUCAACAGUUUUCAAUCAAGGGCGGUUCAUUAAGUGCAAUUCCUGUUCGAAAGUCAGCAGCAAACAGACGGGAAGGAACUACAGAGUUCGAAAGUAAGGGUUAAAGUCAUACUAGCAUCUUACUGUUUCAGCGCUAAGUCCUUCUUUUCUUUCUGUUCGCCCAGUUCUUCUUUCAUCAUAUAUAGAAGCCGAAUCUCAUCUAGCUCUUUUCGAAUAACCACUACAAGGUUCUGAAGGAAAGGAAGCGGACCUACUUAAGGUUCUGAAGGAAAGGAAGCGGACCUACUUACUUAAUGCAAAUAACAAUACCGAUCUAGUCCAGUAGAGCCUUAGCCUUAACCAAGAUAUAUGUGUGCGAUCAGCAGUAUACGCUUGGCUAGUUUUAUCUGUGUUGGCAAGGAGAUCAUCAGCAGUAGGGCGAGAAGAUAAGCUGCUUUAUUUCAUUCCGAACUUCAAGUAGCCAAGCAACUACUAAUGACCAAGCAACGGCGCGCCAAGUAACUACUAGACAAACAACUACUAACGACCGCCAAGACACUACUAACGUGGCGCUAAAGUGAGUUUUAGGCGGCGCAAGACGUUGGGCGGUAGCAACAGGCAAGCAACUACUAACGUUGCGCGGCAGGGCCGCUUACUAUAAUUCCCUCGAAUUAUAACAAUAGAUGCUUUCGGCGUCAGGAGUUCAGAGCGGCAGCGAGCUAAAAGCGGUAGCAACAGUAAUAGAUAUGACAAGUUAUUACAAUAGAUGUUCUUGGGAGUUCAAACACCUUUAAUAAAUUGACUUCUUUUUUUACAAAACCCGGUGUUCUAGAGUGUUGAGUAAGUACAGUUUUCGUCCUUCUCCCCUACCCCAGUUAGUGCUCUUUCCUUCCCGAGUGUUACUGCCUUUAAGAAUAGAGUUUCUACUCGGCGUCUACUUGUCUACUAGCCAGCUUGUCGGGUAUUUUACCGAUUCAAAAGACAAAUGCUCAAAUGUUCCUUUUGCCUCAGCCGAUGAUAGUCCAGUCCGGUGUAACGUAUUCUUCUUCGUUUACCAGUUGGUGCCACUGGAGGGCCCCGGGUAGUUCUAACUCCGUGAGUCCAGGAACUCAAUUCCUAAGCGUCGAUAGAUAUUUUCCAUUUUACAUAAGCACUUUCUAACAUUUAGAUCCGGGUCAAUGAAGGAAAAGAAAGUAUCUCCCUUAUAUGCUAGCUCAAAGCCCGUCGGUACUGUCUUGUUCCAUUACUUUGAGUUAGUGGAAAGUGCUUCUCAAUCAGGCAGGCCGUGUACUCAUCUGGGAAUCACUCAUCCACUGCUCUUUCUCUCACAUCAGGCUGGAUGUCAUUUGAUCGAUCAAAACCGCAUCUGUCGAUGAAGCAGACGCCUAUCCAUGGCUUGAGCCAAAGAGUCGGCUUGCCCUUUUGUUUCCACUAAGCAGGCUCCCGUCUUCUACUGUAACAAGAUACCAAUAUAUAGGUAAAAACACUGGACUUACCGUAUCCCUGAGAAGGGUUAGCAGGGAAAGCUGCCUUGUUUAUUUAAGUACCAGGGGGCUAGCGCUUUCGUUUUGGGGGAAUACCCGCCCGGAUAUCAAUGACUAAAGUCUCUUACGCCACGAAAUAUAGAGAGAGUUAGAGCUCAUUAUAGACAUUAUCUCACAGAUGAAAGAGAGUGAAGUCAAGCCAAGUCACGUAUAACCAAACAACUAAGCCCUGUUUUUGGGAGCCCCGGUCAAGCAAUCGUAGAGACCGAGUAGAGUUUGCAGUUCCAAUUCUCCCUCGUAAGGUCUCAACAGGGCGUAACCAAAGAGAGUAGUGAGAGGAGAGCCCGACUCAAGGCCUAGUAGAUCUAUUCCAGCACUCCUUCCGUCCCUACCGCCCCGGGGAACAAGUGCCACCUAAACUGCAGGAUUCUAAAUCGUUAAGACUCCCUUUCCUUUCUAUCGGACCUUUCCAGCUUUCCUUACUUUCUUUCCUUGGCGCGAGUUCUAAAAGGCUUUUUCUACUUUGCUUUGUUCAUACAAGAAGUCAUAAAUAAGUGACAAUUCUGAUUCAUAAGACUCGGAAUAACAGGCUUUGAAACUCAAAGGAGGUGAAAGCUCCACAGAUACGGGAUAUGGAAAGGAGGGCACUAAGCUCGGCGGAGCUAAGGAAGUACGAGGCAGAGCCAAGACAAAGAUCGGAUGGAAGCAUGAAUACUCAAAGGUUUGGACUUUUGCAAGGACUUGACUUUCACUUCUGGAAUCUGAUUGAUCGUUUUUUGACUUCUGUUCGGGAAUCAGAUUUCUAGCUUUUUGAAUGGGGCGAGGCUAACGGUUCCGAUAGAAAGCGAUGCCUACUAGACAGGCUCGAAUAAGCCUUUCAAUUGAACAUAGUAUCAUAGCUUCUAAACCUAGCAAAAGCAGAAGUCAGAGACGGAAGGAAAUCAAAAAGCUUGUAGAUAGGCAAAGAAAGCCUAAACCUUUUCACUAUAGAGAGUUGGAGCUUUCUUUUGAGUGGCAUAUAGUUCUGUAGGUGCCCUGAUAGUCGUGAAAGUAAAGCAGCUGACUUCUAUCCUUACUGUCGAGCCUAUAGCCUAUUACUAACCUUGUUGAUUCCUUAGAGAAUGAAUGCAAGGUUGACUCUUCAGUCUUCGGCAGGAGGAGAAGUGGAUUCCCUUACUAAGAACAAGUCAUAAAGGAUGCUUAUCAAAUAUGUCUUGAAGAAUGCUAUCCUGGGGAAAGAAAGAAGUGAAGGGCUAAGACUAGAGGAUAAAGAUGUUAGGCGUCAAUGUCGUGUCCGAUAGAUACCUUCCAUAGAGGAAUUGAUUAGAGGCCCCCAGCUACUAAGAAUGGAAUUGAGUGCACAUUAAGCACAUUAAGUGGAUUAAAGUAAACUAACACAGCUGACUCCUUACUGGAAUAUAGAUAAUAUCGGCACCGCUAUUCAAACUCUAAGACUCGAAAUAGCUAUAGCUCAUGCGCAACGGAACAAGCAAAUCAUCUCUCUUGCAACCAGGAACAAGGCCUCGUCCUAGGGGCAAUAAGAAAGUACUGGAGUAUAGCGUUUAGCUGCCCAUCUGAGUGAAAGAACUAACGUAAGCAUCCCCCAACUCCUAUGCUUGAGCAGUUGCAAGUAAAGUAGAAAUAAGAAGAGUAGAAAGAAGCUUAUAUUAACUUCAAAUAAGAAGAGUAGAAAGAAGCUUAUAUUAACGUUUAUUAAGUAGAUUAUAAGUAAUGUUUAUGAAUUCUAUUUAAUGCGACUAAUAUGAUUUGAAAUUCCACAAUUAAGGGAACCGGCGACUAAGCAAGACGUUGUGUUGUGCUUACGUGUGUGAGUUUGUAAGAGUGACCAGUGCGUGUGUGUGAUGUGACUUUGUUCUAUGUGAUGUUACCAGUGUGAUGUGACUUUGUUCUAUGUGAUGGAUGUGACUUUGUUCUCUAAGUUGUGCUAACGUGUCAUUGGUUUAGGGUGGAGCAUAAGAAUAUGAAAUGACUUUAAGCAAGGAAGGGCAGGGCGAAAGUGAGCUUAGCUUAUUGUUGGUUGUUUCAGAGUACCUAGCUUAUGAUAGUUGAGUUAGGCGCCCAUGAGAUAGAUAUGAGUUUUGGAAGCAAUGAUGUAUUGUUAAUAUUGAAUGUUGUGUAAAUAGCUUCAUUCUUUUCUUUUGCUCUAUAGCAUUAGUUAGUUCUUAGUUGUGCCUUAGCUUACCAAGGGGUCUAAUUCAGUGCUUCUUAGGACGGAUAUGUAUUACCUGACUCCGCUAAGGCUUCCGAAGAUGGGCCCUUCCCAGCAACAUGCUUAAGACAUUGAUCUCUCUAAGGCUCUCCAGCUCGAAAUCCCAUUCGGAUUUCUUAGUUACUGACCGCCGGGUGGAGGUAAGGUCAGCGUCCCUAGUCUGCUCUCGGUUUGUUUGAUUGCAUCUGCCUCAAGUCACCUACUGGACUCCAAUUCGAAAUCCUAUAUCUCUCUGUUUACUGGACUCCAAUUCUCAAUCCUAUAGCUCUUCUCUCUGUUUUAAGCAUUGAUUGAUUGCUUGAUUGAUGUUGGGGCAUUAGGAUGGGAAAUGGCCUGGCGAAGAAUACCAAGACAGAGCUAAGAUUCCAGCUGGAGAUAGUGAAAGGGGUUGGUUUUGAUUAGCGGAGAAGUCAGCACCUUAUGUUAUGGGUGGGGCCCGAGGAAAGAAUGGGAGCUACAAUGGCCGGACCGAUAGAGCCAUAUAUCAACGGAUGGAACCAAGCAACGAAAGAGAUUGAUUCGCCUAAGACAGAGAAUGCCCAUACCCUAAGGUGAUGAUUUACAGGUAUUUAGGAACCCUGUUUAACCUCCAAUGGGAUUCUUUAGAUAAACGAUGUAUAGCUGGCCUUCAAUAUAACUAGGAGAGCUAGGCAUCGACUUACUUACUACACAUCGGCUUGCUAUGCAGUUUCGUCGGGGAUUAGCAUCGAAUUAUGCCUUAAUGCUUCACCGCUGCCCCCUCUCCUCUCUUUGUAAGGCUGGCGAGGUAAUGAGCAAUUCCCAGAUAGUUUAGUUCUCCUCAAUUGGUUGGCGCCACUUCGUACUCGAGGAUUUGAGACGGUAGUUAAGUGGGAAACGAACACUUGGGGCAGUAGGCGGAGUUGGGCCAGUGUUUAGUAAACCAUGAAGUAAGAAUGGAAUAUUCAUUAAUAAUCUAACAAGAAUCCAGAAAUCUAACAAGACUCAUUUUAUACUAUACUGGAACUUGACUUUCGUAGUGACUUUACUUAUACUGAUUCUACCUUGAUAGCGCUUCCCUCUUUUCGGAUUCCUUCCCUUUUUUGACCACAGAAAAACUCAUACUAAUAGCCAAUGCUACUUUAUGGAUGCUUCAAACAAGUUCUUUGACACUUAUUUCCUUCCUGUCUUUCCCCGAUAUAGGAGUUGGACUCUGCCUUUUCCCUCGGUACUUCUUUCUUCCCUUAUUAUGAUCCCUGCGGUACUUCUUUUCUUCCCUUAUUAUGAUCCCUGCGGUACUUCUUUUCUUCCCUUAUUAUGAUCCCUGUUAAGAAUAGAAAGCUGUAUGAUCCCUGUAAGGAAUAAUAUAUCGCUUGUGCUUUUAUUGCGAGUCAAUCGCCAGGGAUGAAUAGUCUGGUUUUGUAUGCUCAAUCAGUGUUGUGACCUACUUUAUUGCUGGAAGUAAACGAGAGCUUAGCUUAUGAAUUGAUUUCCCUAACGUUUGAGCUCGUCCUCGGAUCUGAUUCUAUGAUUUCUAUAAUGUUUGAGCUCGUCCUUUGAUCUCUACCUUUUCACUCUCUUCCGGUUUAGCCCCAGCUUUCGCUUUUCUCUUACCUUACGAGGAAAGCACAUUACUUCUGCUUCUAUUCAAAGAUUAGAUCGUUCUAUAAUAUCCAUUAUAGUAUCUCGUCAGUCACGUCAAUGAUUAUGAUUGAAUGAAUCGCUUGAAGAUCAGAGUGGCAUUGGAUCGGAAUAGUUGCAGCUGCCCUUAUUAAGGUCUACAGUAAUUCUAGUUUGAUUCAUAGCUCAGGCUCAGCCAAGUUCUCGUAUGGAUAGCCUUGUCAUCAUCGGGUAAGAGGUCGUGGAAGGGGGCCAAGCAACUAGACAAGUAACGGAUAGACAAGCAACGGCGGCCAAGUAACUACUAACGUUACGCGGCAGCAAGUAAUAGUCAUAACGAAGUUAUUACAGUAGAUGUUUUCGGCGGCAGUAACAACAAUAGGAAGUUAUAAACAAGUUAUAAACAAGUCCUGUGUUCGCCAAGCCGAUCUAGGCGCGGUAGCGAGCUAAAAGAGCGUCAGCAGCAAUAAGUAGUUAUAACUUAGUUAUAACUAUUCCUUUGUUUGUGUUGCGCGGCAGCUGUUAUAACCAAGUCCUGUCUUCGUAGAUGUUUUCGCCGCCAAGAGAGGAAUAAAGAGGAGGUGCGCCCGCUACGUUCAGUCAAGUAACGAGGAAAAGCUUCAAGUCAUUAAUGUCAGACUUAUUAGUGAGAGCGCUACGAAGAGCAAAUGCUUUCUCCAACUUUGAACAUAGGAUGCCCCAGGAAAAAACAAGGACCGAUACUUAUAGGCUUGGGCUUGCGGAUGCAGGCAGUUUCAAAUCAAUGAACUUCGUACAGAGCAUCUCGGAGGAAGAUGAGCAAUUAGAGCAGCGGACAAAUAAGAGAGAUUUGGUUCAUGUCUUACUGAACAAAAAUAAUACCUUUGUGACCGUGACAGAUGCUAGGGGCAAUAAGAAGACAGGGGCCUCUGCUGGUUGUUUGGAGGAAAGAAAAGGGCGGUCUCGUCUUUCUCGGUAUGCAGCUGAAGCAACUGCAGAACAUGUCGGGCGAUCCGCUAGAAAGAUUGGUUUAAAGUCAGUUGUCAUGAAAGUGAAAGGAUCUACUUAUUUCCGGAAAAAGAAUAAAGUGAUCUUGAGCUGGAGAGAAGGUUUUCGAGGUGAAGGAGUAGGAGAUCCAUCUCCCAUUUUGUACAUAAACGAUGUGACCCAACUUCCACAUAAUGGAUGUCGACUCCCCAAAAAACGUCGUGUUCAAAUAGUUCCCUUUUGAGAAUCUCCAUUUUCACUUGACAAGAAAGAAUAACGGACAAAAUCUGACUCGGAAGUCUGCUAUUGUACUAGACUUAUUGACUGAGCGAGACUCCAUCUUACUUUAUAUGCAUCCAUCUAGCAAAGCCGCGUGAGUAAAGAAAGCACCCGAAGAUCAAUAAAUAGAACGGACAACAGCAGAAGAAGCACGGACUCCACAGGGCUAGAUCCAAUCCACUAUACAAGCCUCUUAUUUCCACCGUUAACCGCUACGUGGUAUUCUUUAUACAAUGACAGCACUAGCACCGCGUCUUUCCUCUCUCUAAGAUUCCACUUUCAAUGGAAAUCAAUCAUAUUCGGUACUUACUGAUAAAAAGCCGAUACUCUCUUAUGACCGAACUUCGAGAGCGAGUUAGGCAGCUAGUCCUCAUAGCAGCUAGUUAGGCGUGUUUGUUAAAGCAGCAGGAAGUGUGAACGAGCUGAAGCUUCAAGCAGAAGGAAGAAAGCAAGCGGGCUCAUUAAUUAGUGUAGAAUACUGCCAAGUCCCUUUGAGAAUUUGUUAGGUCUUACAGUGGCAGCUACACAGUAGGCGAUCAGCUACUCCGAGAGCCGCUACACUGUGAAAGGAAAGCCGUUCAAAAGCUAUCUUUACUCCCAAAAGCUAUAUAUACUUAUAGUACGCUAAUUCAUUCUUUCUAUAGUACGCUAAUUCAUUGGUCGAUAUAGAUUGAUUACGUAAAGUAGGGCAUCCAUCUCUUUCUUGAGUCCGGCAAGCUUAUCAUACUCGGUCGAUACUCUUUACAUAUCUCUAUAGAGGCACUGACCCGGAUCUCUUCACACAAGGAUAUCCUUUCAAGGUCGAUACCAUCUCUCAUUCCGUAGUGAAAUCAAUCGGUUUCAUAGCUCUAGCUUGCUGCGUAAACUGGCCCUUCGUAAUCCUUUCCGUGAGGUAGCUUGUCUCCUCCUGCUUGUCUGGUUCAUGGGGCUCUCUAUUCUUUGAUUCAAGAAGUCACUCCGUGUUGAUUCCUCUGGCCAACACCUUUCCUUUCUUUGAUUCAUUCGCCCUACGUGAUCAUCUACUUUCUUCCAGUGGAUAGAGAAGGCCCCGUCUAGUCGAAAUAAGUCAAAGCUAUUUUGGUCAGAAAAAGCGAAUAUCAAAUCUGUGCCAAUCCCGUGUAAGCACCCUAUCGCCUGUGCUUGUGCGUUCCUAUCUCUUAUGAAUGGAGUAAACCGGAUCGUUAAGAUAAGACUUUCUAGAAGUAGAAGCUGCGGAACUGCUCUGAAUCAGAAACUUCGAACCAACUCAAGAUAGAAUUGUAGGCUAGAUAUUGAUAUAGGAAAAAAAGGGGUGCAUCUGACAUUACAUCACUCGGUCUCUUUCUCGGCCUAAACACCUUCCUAUGAGCAAGAGAAAAAGAAGACCUUAAAGCGGUCCACCGGGUCCAGCCAACUGACGCUAUGAAAGAUAACAACUAUUUCUAGUCCAGCCAACUGACGCUAUGAAAGAUAACAACUAUUUCUAUAUAAUAAUUAUUGAGAACGGCGAAUAAUAAUGGAAAUGCAGACAGAUCCGAGGUUUUUCUUAUUGAACUCUUUCGAAGUGGAAUGUAGAUGACGAGCAGACCUUCCAACUCUCGUUCGCUAGUCCACUUACUUUCCAUGAUGGGUCUUACGAGUAAGACAAUGUCGAUUCGAUUGGGCCUUUUCACACUCGAUCCUAAGCUACAAUCUCUGUUGAAGAUCGAUUGCAAGUGCCUUCUCGGCCGGAUUCUCAUCCUUACUUACUGUCGGAGCAGACAACCGAUCUGAAAUCGUCCACAACCUGGAUACUGGAUGCCAUAUCAGCGGCAGGACCCAUUGAGGCGAAUGUUGAUUUAGUCAACUUAGCGAAAAAAGGAACUACCCAACCCAACUCAGUAAGAACCACGACUGAUACUGCCUUACCAAAUAAUCUGCACUGUCAUACCUCUUUGAUAUACCUCGGAGAUGAAUGGAAGGAAUGAUCCUUGGGAAACCUGCUCCAGUGGUAGCUACCAUCGUAGAGUGCUGCCCCUUUACUUCCGCUGCAACUGUACCGUACCCCACACAGUUUCAAAUAGAAAGCAGUGAAGAGUAGACCAGACCUCCUCGACAAUCGGUAACAUGCUCUCACAUAAGCAACGACUCUUCCUUAUCGCGCGACCUGUGGGAACUCUUAUUAAUAGGCCCUUUAGCCAUCCCGGCAGACUAAUUGCACCAGCAGAGCCGGAGUCAGCGUAUUGGCAUUAGCAACUAGACCGAAGAGGUUUCGCUUAAGGACACAGGGAGACUUCGAACGCAAGGUGCUCUUCUCAAUUUAGAUGGCUUAUCCGUUGAUCCCCCCAACAACAGAUUCCAGGAUCAAGGAGCGUUUAGUACUUGGUAUACCUUCCAUCUCUGAGAGGGUAGAAUAGACCGUGGUUUGUCGUCUCCCAUUCUGGUCUAUCCUUUCUCUUUUAUAGAAGAUCAAAUCCGUUUCUUAUCAGGUAUCACUCUUUUUCCUCCCGGAACGUUUGACCAACAACGACCUAUUCAAGUUUGUCUUGAACCAUUGGAAAUUUCUUCCUUUGAUUUGCAGUCUGCUACUGAUCGAUGGCCUCUGUCCAUUAUAUACACUCUCUUUUAGUUAUUGUUUGGUGGCCUCAUCUUUAGUUAAUAGUUCGUUGGGACUCCACUCAUUUUUUGUCUGGAAGCCUAUGGUGAGGCGGAGGGAGUAGCAUUGUAUUCCUUAUUUCGAGUUUCGACCUUGUUAGCGUAGGUUCGAUUCAUAGUUGUUCAUUUCAUUCCUUGUGUUGAGUUUAGUGAUUAUGAGUUCAAUCCAACAGAAGUUAUCAAGUAAAAGGCAGUAGUAGCGGAGAAGAAGUCAAGUCUAGCAAUAAGGGCAGUGAGCCUGAUAGGCAGCAAGGUCAGAUUUAGAUCAAGGAGUGAAGAGCCUAUUUCUUUGUUUGACUCUUUCCGGUAGCUCAAUGUAAUCGACCCUAUUCCUAGUUGUUUUCUUAUUCCUAUAUUCCCAGUUGUUUUCUUAUUCCUAUUAGUAGAUGCGCUAGACCGUGCUCGUACUUAUACUUAUGAGGUUGAUUCACUGACACAAGAAGUCAGUCCGGUACCUAAAAGCUCGUAGGUAGUAAAGUCAGGCUUAUAGGAAAGCUAGUAUAAGGGAGCGAAAUACUUGAUUUCUAGUUAAGGUCUUAUCGGCUAGUAGGCUUUCAGCACCUUGUUAUGAGUCCAAGUAUUAGAAGCACUGGUUUCUGUAUUUCUUAUAAACAUAAGUAAUAGACGGAGGGAUUCUUUGUCUCUAGUUGAAGCCAGUUAGUAGUAGCUCAAUUAUGAGAAGCAAUAUUGGAAUUCCAAGUUGCUCUUUCCAUUCUUAUUAGUUUUGCUCUUGCCGGGCACUAGUUCCGUCUUGGAGAUACCGUUUGGCAUUGUUACUUAAUGGCACGGGAUUCCGACUUAUUUGUUUCAUUCCCAUCAGUAGUACGAAGCCUUAGAAGCAGCACAGGGAGCCUGCAUUGGGAGUUCCAAUCUGUGUUUUUAGUUUCAUCCUGGGUGUUUCGUUCUGCUUACUUGUUCUUAAUCUGUGUGCGCUAGAGCCACCCUAGUGUAUGCUACUGAAUAAGAUUAUUUAUUCGUAGUUCAAUUCGGACUUCCUACACACGCCCGAGGAGAAGAGUUCUUGUCCUUGAUUUCGUACUUGCCCCCGGAGUUGACUCUUAAACUAAUGUUUCUCGUUCUUUCUUGGACUUUGUCCCUCUGUAGUUGUAGCUUCGGUCUGCCGUCCCUUGCUUUGAGUCACCAACCAGUAUAAUAGGUUUCAGAGCACUAGCAACAAGAACUAGUGUAGGACAAUAGAACCAAACUAAGUAGUCGAGGCCCUAUACUACAUUGCUCUAGCGAUUAUGGUAUUGAACUCAUAGGUAUGAUACAGCACACACAGAUUAAUAAUAAGUGGUAUAACAUAGAAUCCAAGGAGCGUUAGUAGCCUUCCCCUAACUCCUAUUCUAACUACCUAAUUCAUACUCGUUUUCUUGAUCCCGUUAGUUAGUCUGCCUGCCCGGGGGUGUUACUAAAUUCCUGAACAUAACUUCUACUUGUUCCUGGCAUCCUUGCUUUACCACAUCGUAGCCUGCCCUUACUUACUCUAAUCUAGUAGUUACUUGUCUCUUUGAUUACUUCAGUUCAUUCUUACUAAACAUAGCAAGCCACUCUAUAACAAUGCCCUAGUAAGCCAUUUUAUACAGANNNNNNNNNNNNNNNNNNNNAACAGAAGAAGCAAGGACAGAUGUGGUAGAUCGAAUGCAAGGAAGGGAAGAAAGAUUUGACUACGAUUGAAAGCAAGGCUUAAAGCAUGGAUAGGAGCGAGGAAGAGCCAUACUAAUAAUCGAGCAUAGGAUCCGUGUACCUUCUGUUUUAAGUAGUAUUUCAAGUCAUUAGGCAGUGUUCGAUCCUGUCUGUGUUCGUUCCUGCUCGCUAGUGAUAGCUCUUAUUAUUAUAGUUAUAUCGCCCAUUGUGACUUGUUUUUGCUCAUUUGGCUUGCUUGUAGCCUUUCUUGCUCUUUAUUCGCAACAGGGAACUCGCGUUAGGAAGUGAAACGCGUUAGGAAUUAUAAGUAAGUCAGAGUGUUAUGAUUACUUGUGAAACCUAGACUCGUAAGCUCUUUGAGCACUACUGGGCGAGAUCUACUUGUUUGUAAUCUUGGCUUUGCUUAUUAAGUAAGUAGGUCCUUGAUACAACACCUCUUCCUCUAUCUACGACAAGACAAGAACUCCACUCUAGUACAAGGAAAGACCAAACCAAGCAUAUACUAAAUUAAGUACUUUCUUUGCUAUAGGCACCCUGCUUUCGUAGAAAUUCUGUCUAUCUUGCCCUUGACCCCUGAAUUAGAUGAAUGAGCCGUUAUCCACAAGAUUAUUGACAACAAACCCCGCACCCAUAUAAGUCAUUUUAGGUAAAAGGUGACCCUUAGAAUACUAAUGCAUUAUUGACUUACCUGAACCCCUACUACCCAUUGUUGAUAAUAAUACAUACAUUAUUGACUUACCUGAAUCCUUACUGUAAUGAAUGAGCCGAUCUAUACUUUCUCUUAUUGCCUGACCUGUACAAUAGAAAGAGGAAAAAGGUCACAAUGCUAGUUGUAUAUGUUGGUAGAAAGAAGAAAGGUGACAAUGCUAGUAGUAUAUGGAAGUCUCCGCUCUAUCAGUGACAUAGCUCCGUUUACAGCGCUAUUUACCCUGGACCAGCACUCUAUGUGCCCGGGCCGAUCGCCUUCUCACAUCAUAGAUGGCGCCUACACGCUGCAUGGUGGCAUAUUUGGAGUCUUCUUUAUCAAUAUCAUAUAAGUGCAAUUCCUGCGGUUCCUAAAGGAGAGUCAUAAUCAUUCUACUACUUGCUUUAGAAGAUCAGUCACGGUCUAUCUAGAGCGAGGCCUGGCCUCAAUUGCCUUCUAUUGAAAGGUCUUAUCCAGCGGGGCCUAUAACCAUUAUGCAAAAGCAAGAGCUCUCAGCGUAAAGAGAUAGGAGUUGGAUUCGCUUUCUGUGGUAAAGCCAGAAUCAUCCCUAGUCUUUAUGUGAUUUUAUUCAAGUCAAUUAAUGAAAUUGCUGCUGUCUAAGUCGGAUAGAGAAGAUAAGGAGCUGGGCUUCAUAAGGGAUCUUCCAUAUCAAAUAAGUAUGUACCCCCGGAUAAGGGUAGGCAUAAUAUGAAUCAUUCUCCAUCGCAUCCCUUUCACUCGGGUUGGUUUCGAGCAGGACUCCAAUAAGGGCUUACUCCAAUAUGGCCAAAGAGGGUUUUCCUAACUUAUUCAAUUCGUUGCACACUCACCAAUACUAUACCUGAUUGAUAAGAAGUAAGGGAACCUGAUUGAUAAGAAGUAAGGGAUCUCUAUAAGGGCUGUUCCAUUACUACUGUCAUUUUGACUUGUUUCUGCAAUUGUCAGGGCUUAAUACAACGAGGAAGACUGGCACGAAGUGACUUGACCUUAAGAAAGAAGAACCGGGACAGAGACAGGGACUAAUACUCGAAAUGAGCCAGGGACUUACACGGCAUGUAUCCAAUUAAGGUGAGAAGGGGGAAAGACGGAACCGCUCAGAGGAGAUAGGAUAGAGAUAGUGAAUUCAAAAGAAAGGAAAGGGGCACCACCAGAGCACUCUAUCACGUUAACCCUACUGGGGGCAAUUAUGGAGUUUCUAGAUACUAUUGGUACGGGGAAUAGAAGGAAUGGAGCAGUCGAAAAGCAAAUCUCAUUAUGGUAUGGGACAAUACACCUAAAGCAUAGAUAACUCCCACUUGAAAGAAACAAACCGACUACUAAUUAGGUCCUUUACCCAGCUGGAUAGUAAGAUGUUUAAUAUGCUUAAUAAUGAGAUCGUGUAAAAUACCCUCUCAACAACACUUAUGUAGUCCUGCGCUAUUACUGAUAAUAGUCAAUCAACAUAGGCAGGCGGUCCCUUUAUUCAGAGAGAUUCUCUAUGCUGGCAACUGCAACUAAAACGACUACCCGUGGCCAACAUCUACACGAUCUCAAGCAGGGCGAUGAUCGUUAUCUCCUUAUUAAAUCAAAGGGGACAGAAUAAGCUCACGGGGCGUCUAGUGAUUCCCUCAUCUCAGGGGACAAGGGGAAGAAUGCUCUAUCUAUCUAUUAGAUAAACCCUUGGAACCUCUACCCGAACAAUUGGUUGCCUUAGCCCUACUAGGGACUGCCGGAAAAGGCAUAGAAAUCUACAGUCUCUUUAUACAGACGACCUAUGUCCUAUUCUGUGAUGGAUACCAUGCUUCUCAAUAAGCUGCAGCUAGAUCCCCUAUCCUGUUCAAUAAAAAGAAACUUCUCGAAUCGAUUUCGAACUGAUGUGAGGCUUUAAUGAGUGGGAACUAAAACAGCUCUUCUGGUCCAGCCCCACCAACUCCCGCUCAAACUGUAUGGAAAAGGGAUGAUAUAACGGCAGGAAUCAAACCCACAAAGCAAGGUCAAACUACAGCAAACUCGACGGUAAGUGAUGAGUUAGGAUUGAAGUGAAGAUAGGAUUGGCAGUAAAGGCUUAGUACUUAAGCUAGAUGGCCAGCAACUUACACUUUGCCCUAGGAGUGCAUUUGUAUGGCUUGAAACUCCAACUGGUCCUAUGGGGCUAUAGAUAGUAACUCUAACUUCAACAGAGCAUCUAAGCUUUCUCCACUGGGUGAGAGAAGAGAGAAGAAAUUCCAUCCAAAUCAUGCUUGCACUCACUUGAAGAAGAUUUAGAAGACUUACUUGAGACCGCCUUACACAAGGUAGAGUAGCGCUUCCGAAUGAAAGCCAACUUGAACAGUGAUGAGCUGUCGAUCUAGUGCCAGUACUGAAGAAGGAAAGGACAGAAAGACAAGGGUUUUCCGUAAGUGGGGUGGAUAGCCUACAGGGAAAGAGGGACUAUUCGGAGGAGACAGUGCCUAUGAGUAGGAAAGACGGGUAAGAGCCUGCCUAUUCAUAAGAAGGAUGGAGCCCAUUCAUAGGAUUGACGGGAAAAGAGCCUGCCUAUUCAUAAGAAGGAUGGAGUCUAUUCAUAAGAAAGAAAGGGAAUUGGAUUUAUUGUACGACCCGAUAUAUACGACAACAUUGUUUACUUACCCCUUUACCUAUCGGAAGUGAGUUUACUAUCCGGAUUCAGUGAAGAAGAGGCUUAGUUGACUACCCAGAGACAAAGGCAGCAACGCACGCGCUUUUCUCAUUUUCAAUUAUGCUAUGGAUGAUGUUUUCUUUCUUAUGUAUGAUUUCAUUAGUUUAUUCCAUCGAGAAACUCAGAAUCCAGUUAGAUUUAUAGAGAGUGCAUCCCUUUUUCCGAUGAAUAAUGCAAUCCUACUCGUGGACUAAUAAGAAGGUACAAAAAUGAAUCUAAUCACAAUGGAAAUUAUCGAUAAAUGGAUACUUCUAUUCUAUAAGAAUCUAUGUUCAAAAGUUAGUGCUAAUAUAGAAGAAAGGGGGCAUUAGUUAAUGGAAAUCUAGAAUGGAGAAUACAUGCAUGAAAGGAUCCUUUGUUUCUCUUAGAGAGAGAAGAUAGGAUUGAUUUUCUAGGAUUAAUAGGAUGUGCCACCACUCGGAUUCGAACCGAGAUGCUCUAGCACUGCUUCCUAAGAGCUGCGCUGCGUGUCUACCAAUUUCACCAUUUAGGCUAGGCUGACUUUCCAUAAGAAUCAAGAAGUGUAUAUUAAUCUAUAAUCGAGAAAUAAGGAUUCAAGGAUUCAAUAGAGUAGUAGUCUAGUCAACAUUAGAAUCGAUAAAUACCAAGAUUCAUUAGAAUUCCCUUCCUUACUAUUGGAAUCAUUAGAAUUCCCUUCCUUACUAUUGGAAUCAUUAUUCAAAAACAUAAUGCUUAGUUGGGAUCAUUGUCAGUGUAGUUGCCGAGGGCUUAGCUAAUAAGUAAGAUGGCAUAGAGCCCUUACUGCUUUCUCAAUCAAAGAGAAGAUUCGGGGAUAUCAUAACUAUGCCCAUCUCUUGCUAGAAAGGCCAAUGAAUUAGGUUGUUGGGCACUUUACCCUGCGCUUGGAGUAGAGGAGAAUAGGUUUUUUGUUGAAUCAAUAGCCAUAGUCAAGCAGGCACUUAUGCAAGGAAUGAAGCCAGCCAAUGUCGCUUACAAGAAGAUCACUAGUAUAAUAACCCGCCUGAGAAUAGGCUAAUGGGGUAAUAGGCUAAUGGGGACUUUAAUACUAAAUCAUCACUUAAUACUGACUUUACCGACGGAGAUUCUCUUAGUCAUUCAGAUUGCUUGUUCCGGAGAUUCUCUUAGUCAUUCAGAUUGCUUGUUCUCUCUCCAUCUCUAAUUACAAUGGUUUCUAUGCUAGACUCAAACUCACAAACGCUUUAAGCACUAAGGCCUUGCGCUAACGGAGCUACUAUACUUUACCGACGCUUCUUGAUACUUCCACUUUCAACUUCACUUCAGCAGUGGAGCAUUCUGUCUACAAUGACACUGGCUACCCUUACUUUAUACUCUUACAAUUAUAGCCUUAAGUGCUCAGUGUAGUGGGCAUGAUCUUCGAGCUAGAUUCUCUUCUUCAUUCCAUUCCUAUCUUAGCACUAGAUGAAAUUGGAUAGCUAAAAACAGGACUUAACUACUCUUAUUGCCUUCUUGCCCUUCCCUUAGACAAAGAAAAGAAGUAAGAAUCAUAGAAUGGAACCAACUUCGUAAAAGGCCAAAUCAAGGAAUUUCAUAAAGUAUACAACUACAGGAUAUACAACUACAGGAUUCUAGUAACAAAACUAGAAAUACUCUGAAAACCCCGUAGCGCCAACCUCUGUAGCGCCUGUUGCUUUCGAUCUAUACUCGUUAAGAACUCAGGUUUUCGAUCUACCCGUUUUGCGCUAUCGCUUAUUGACCCACUACGCUAGGAUAGUGAGUUUGCCGGGCCCCUAUUCAACAAGGAGGAAUAUGAAACUGCAAUAAGCAAUGGAACUUUGCCUCAAUUCCUUCUCCAGCACAGGUUUUGUCUCAAGUAAGUAGCGCUAGUCUAGUAGGAUCUCGCCCAGUAUAUAAAAUGCAAGGGAAUAAUCAAGAAUAAUACAGUAAGUUCAACAAUUCUGCAAUUUCAAAUCAAAUCAAAGCAGUGCGAGUAGAAAGGAUAAGGCGCAAGUAUUGUAUUGAAAAACCUGUUGUUAAUGCGCACGAAGUAAAGUGUAAGGUCUCGUAUGGAGCGGGGAACAAGCAACGAACUCGAACUCAAUCAGUAAAAUGGAUAAUAGUGACUAGUGUUGUCUCUUUAGCUUUAGAAAAGAUGAUAAGUUCCGGCAAGCUACUACUCUUGGCUCUCACUUUCGAGCCUUACCAACGAGUAUAUGGUAUAUGAUUUCGUAAUAUGACUUGGAUUUCUAUACAAUGCUUGAACGAUUGGCGCUACUGACUUUUGUCUACUUAGGUGAGUUCCAUUGGUCUGCCUUCAAUCCGUUUCUAAGCCUAAGGCUUCGCUCUAUUCCCUGUGUUGUAAGCUUUCCAUCGUUGCAAGCCCCUUCCAUUCGGCCCAAGCUUGAAAUGUAGUAUGCUUCCGAUUCCGUUAUUCCGUUAGCCUUUUUGUUAUUCGUUUAGUCAAAGCCGGUAGGCUUUCAGCACCUUUCUAAUCGUUCUAUCAUUCGAAGUAGGAGCUGGUGUUUAGGGUAGAAAACAAUUGGUAUAGCGAGUUCAUGUGCUUGCAGUUGUGUUCCCAUCCCCCUCACCUUUAGUCGGAUUCUCAAAGGUGUAUUUGCUUUUCCUGGAGUUAUUAGAUGGAGUUCUUUCCUUCUGUGGGUUUGACUCACUUUCGUAGUCUCUCAUUCCAUUCCUCCCUACCCUAUCGUAGUAAAUUGCUCUCAUUCCAUUCCUCCCUACCCUAUCGUAGUAAAUUGCUAUUGAAAAGGAGUCCCGUAACCUUCUAAUCGGAGAGCAUUUCCUUCUGACUUGACUUUCUUUAUGCUAACUCAUUUCCUUCUGACUUGACUUUCUUUAUGCUAACCGGAUUGAACAGCUUUUCUACGCGCACGGUGUAGCGAGAGUGGCCAGCUUCCGCACAAUCUUACAGUUAAUAUAAAAGGCAUACUCUGGAAUGCUGUUGGAGGAAGUUCUUAAUAUGUCAGGAUUCCUAACCUAAUAUGAUUUCUCGAUUUCAAGCGUAAAUCCUAGAUGCAACGAAUCGUCUUUGCUGAAGCCCUUUUUCUCAGCCGUGGCACUAAGGCAUUGUCAUUGCUAUUCCGCUUCAUCUCUUCGGGGACCGGUGAGUGGAGCUUUUUUCUUGAUAUUCCAAUAUUCUAAGGUAAGACUUGACCCGGUGAUGAGAGAGGAGUUUCACAACUUCAUCGUAGCGGAUGAUGACGGGUGUGUUUAGUCAAAACUAACAACAGUAUGGCUUGCUUAAUAAAGCGCUGUAGGAUCAAUUAACUCAUAUUGCAUUUUUCCAUUCAUUCAUAUACGCUCUUCUCUUUUCAAAAGAUAGUUUAGUUACGGUUCCAAAUAGCAUCUUAUUAUUUGAUAUGAUCUCGUGAUAUCGAUCGAAUUAAGAUGGAUGUAAAGGGUCGAUUACAUUGAGCUUUGAUAGGUUCGUCCAACCCAUCCUGAUGCUCUUUCUUUUGGCCCAUGAAACAUGAAAUAAGCUGGAUCAAGCGCUGUUAAACGACUAUAGCAGCUUUAUACUUGUUAACGAUCAGAUAGCCGCCUAAUAGAGUUAGUGACGCAUCCAUACUCCCGGAAGGAUGUCGAAAGAGCUAGUGAAACAGUGGGCCCCACUGCAGCAAAGCUAGGAUCUACCGUAUAGGCAUUGUUCGCUUUGUGGUUGUACCUGAAAUGAGGAAGAGAUUGCACAGUCUUAUAGGAGGCCUCGCAAUACGGUGAGAGGAGGAGACUGAUUGGAACUGGAAUCACCCGUAGGCCUUCAGAUCCUAUGGCGAUGUUUUCGCUUAAUUAAGCAGCAAUAGUCCGUGCUAGGAAUACUUUCAUUAGCGGAAUAGGAAGUAGGGCUGUGAACCAUAGUUUUUAUUGGAAACCAUAGGCCCGGGGGACUACCAAUAGAAUAAAUAGGCUACCGAGUUUCCGCAAUAGCCAGAUAUUUGUAGGUGCUAAGCCUUUUCACAGGUGCUACGCUCCGGGAGGAAUAGCUAUUCUAACAUAUUAAUAUUCUUUCUCUUAACAGAACAACAUAUUCUUAUUCUCUGAAAUAUUUGGUAUCUGGGAAGCUAGCGUUUCAAGUAAAGGUCAUCUGUUUCGUUUAUGAUAGAUCAGAAUAUUGAAUUCCAUUCCAUUAUCCAUAGUCCGGACUUCUCCAUAGGGGUGCUUCCGUGGCUAAUCGUAAAUUAGGUUGACCACUGACAUGUUCCUUUUAUUUAGAUAGGCUACUCUGUCCCCAUCGGUCAGCAUAAGCAGGACCUGAAGUUGUAGAAAAGUAAGCUAAGCAGAAUCAUUGCCUGUAUCAGGAUCAGAGAAAGUGGAGGCAGUAUACAGUACGGAAGCAGCCCUAAAUGCAUUGUAGCCUGAGUUAAUAGAUUGAUGUAAAUACACUUCACUUCGAAGUUCAUUCAAUUGAGCAAGCAAGCAAGAUAUUGGGAAGGAUGUUGUGGAAAUGAAUGUUUUACUGAAGUGGGUAUUGCCAGACCUGCCCUAUCGUUAUCGUUCAAGAGAAUCAGCUGGAGCAGGCUACGAUAUAGAAUAAGAGGAAUAGGAGGUGUGUGUUGGCGUAGAGAGAGUGUGCUUCUUCGGCUCCUGUUAGCGAUGUGAGUGUUGCGGUUCAAUUCCAUUCUUCAAGUUGAGAGUCUUGGGGAGGCAGUGUAUUUACAACCAGCAAGGGAACCAGAAAUCCUAUUGGAAGAAAUGACUUAUAAGGCAAGUUUCUUAGUUUCGGUAUAGUAGUGGGAGUUCAAAGAUACUGUUUAGGAGCAGAUUCAGUGCUUGUGUUAAGCAAUGAUACAAUCUAUCUUCUUAGUCUUGAGAGAACACCUGCCGCGGAACACGAAAACAGGAAUUGUAAUAACAACAAAUAAAUAUACCUGAUGUUGUUUCUUAUUGUAGUUGCCUCCGAGUUCCUUGGCUCCCCUCCAUAAUUCAUUAUUUCUUUAUAAAUGAAUAACUGAUGAAACUAUCACUCCCGGUUUCAACUCCACAGAACGUUUCAACUGAGCUUGUAGUUACUCGCCUGCUUGGCCCCGGUAGUACAGCUCCUGUUCUUGUGGAAUCCCCAGUUUCAUCUGCAAUUCAAUCAGUGGUUGUCGACUCAAUUGCCUGUUCUCGUGGUAUUAUACCUGUUCUUGUUCUUAAAGGAGUAGUUGACAGUUCCGUUCGAGAAUCAGAGGGGUCGGCUAAGGCGCUAUAGUACUAAUAUAAGUCAGAGUUGCCUAGUUGCUAAGGUUAAGAAGCCUAUUAUUGCUAGUGGCAGUAGAAGCCUGGCUAAUGAGUCUGUUUCAACUGAAAUUAUACCUCCAACAACUCAUUCUUUUCAACAAAUAAUAGUGUUGUAAAGAUCCUUUUCUUAAUCCAGUACUGGUGCACGGGCAGAGCAAGGCAAGGCGAUAAGAAAGUUGAGUGACCUAUUAAGCCUCCGGAAAUGCCCCGACCCUCUAGUGCUUACGGAUUCUAUGACAUCCCUUAUGCUAAUGAGUCAGUUUCUUCCGAUCUAGUAUCUGUUUCUUCCAAUCCAGUUUCUUCUCCAGCUGCUGAUGCAGAUUAUGGGCAUUCGGCUGAGGCUUCCAUAUUAGAUUCCACUUAUUUACUUAGCGCUUCAGAACCCCUGCUUGUUUCAAGAGGCUCAAUAUAAAGAAUCCAAGCUUGUUAGCCAGAGGCGAGGGAGAGGUCAAUUCUUGCUUUUGAGUUUCACUAGGCCAAGGUGAGUAUUGAUAUUGAUCUGUAUUUGCAGGAGCAGGCCCAGACUCAGUGUUAACGGGAGAGUUGCCUUACUUAUAUUACGCCAGUUCUUUACCCCUAUGAGAGAUGAGAGCCGAAUGAAGUUAAUAGUUGACAGCUUAGCUUGUUGAAAGAAGUAGGCGUGGUAGUCCUGUUCGAGUAGUUUCAUCUGUAGUUGGUGAAUACCGAGUGUCAUCCCAAACUAGUAGUAGUCCCGACCCGACCUCUCAACUGAAAGUCUAUAUUUGCUAUCCAAAAUCCCGGGUUUCUUAAAAAAGAUCAUUGGAUUGGAUCGGUUCAGGAGGCAAAACUCGUUUGCUACCUUUUUUCCCGGGAAAACGCAAAAGUGGAGGAUCAAUCUUAUGGUUUAGGAGGGAAAUUCUAUUUGCUAUGAAAAAACACGGGAAAACACAUCUUUGACCCCGCCGCUACACACUAGUAGUUACUUGGCUCAUAGCAAAGCAGACUUCACUGGGGUAGCUGGACUGAGCCCCGGUAGUUAAAGAACCAAACCAGUCAAUCCUUAACUCGCUACCGCGUCACAUUAGUAGUGCCUUGGUGAAUUAGACCUAAGUAGUAGAGAGGGGAGCCUGUAGCAAGUGGGUCUCUUCUUUGGGGUCGAGUAACUAAGAUAUCGAAUAGGGUAUUUCAAAACUUCUAUUUCAUGAGUGGUUUCAUCCCGAGCUGCAGAAGUGGAAUACGUUGUUUCAUCUCAAAGGGGAGUUAAAGAAUCCCGCAGUAGCAAGUGGUAGUCCUGUGGAAUCAGAGGUUUAGUCCAGUAGUAGAGUAGUUAAGAGCUUCUUUGGAGCAAGUAGUUUCGUAGUUUCAUCAGUAGUAAUAGCAAAGCCAGAGCCUGUACCAAGCACACUAGCUUAUGUAGUUCCUGCUCUAGCUUAUGUAGUGACUAGGCGUCUUGUCUAUCCGUUACUUGGCUCAUAGCAAUUCCAGUCUUGGUCUUGUUCCAGAAAUAGACCCAUAGCUCCAUCCUCUUUUUCUUAUUGAAAGAAGUAACAGUCCGGGUUGGGAGUAGUAAAGGGAGUUUGUAGAGGUGUGUCCUCUUAACGAGGGAAGUUCAAGAUGUAUUCUCAUCAGAGGAGUUCCCGAGUUCGUUAUGUUCGGGUCCGCUUGUAAGGCUAAGGUUCACUUGGCCGAGUUUCAUCUGUGUCUGCAACUCUGGAAUCAGAGGUUAAGUCGAACCAUAAAGAGAUGUUAGGAUCAAAUGCACUAUCACAGCCUGAAAGUACCAACAUAGGGAAUUAGCCUGCCAUAAAUAAGAGGUGUUUCCCCUGAGAUGAUCUGGUCCAGAGGAAAAGAGUACUGGGUUGGUUCAACCCGGGUAAUGAUGAGUUGCUUGGUAAUGAUGAGUUGCCUUAGGGGAGGUAAGCGCGGGAGCUAGCGAGUUUAGUCUAGGUUGCGAGUCAACGUUUUCGUAUAAGAAGAUCCAGAUUCGAAAUAAUUGAUAUUGGAAUGUUCUUAUACAGUAGUGUCGGUAGAGUGGACAAGUCCUGUCACUUAUAUAUCUGCCCCGCUUCCCUUGAUGGUUUCCUUGCUGGUUGAAUUUCAUUGAAUCUCUCUUGCACCAACAAGCAACUCGGAGUGCUUUGCUUCCAUUCUGACUUCAAGUAAGAAGCCCUUGUUUCAUCUUCUGAACGAAACUACAAGGAAAGCCACAUACAACCUUUUCCUCAAGUAAAGUACUAUCGAUCGAUGCCGCCUUUGCAAUACUCUAAGAAAAGCAAUCGAAUAGAAGUCUCUUUGUUCCCGUACUUGUUGAGUAAGGAGUAAGCUUAGCAGUGCGUGCGGUUGGUUUCAAGGUGUUUUUGUAGGCAGUAGCUCCUCCAACUAGUCUAGUCUACUAUAGAGGUUAUUGGCUACGCGGUGCUUGUUAAGUAAACUCGAGAAGAAGAGGUGAAAGUAUCCAGAAUCCUUAUUAUAAGAAAAAGCCAUAAAUUGGAUAAAUAAGGGAGUUUACGAAUAAUUCUUUGUUUGACUUUGACUUGGUGCUCGAUAAGAAAUGAAGUAUUGAUUAACUGGCACUACAGCUCGAAGUCCAGUGUUUGAGGUUAAGUAGAAAGUCAGGGUAGGGCUAAGGGAAGAAGCUUAAGAAGCAGUUUCAAGAUCAGUUGCCGAAGCCGAAUCUCCUCUUACAGAAGAAUGCCCAGCUUAAGCAGUGGGUGUGAGUGUUGCCUAGGAAAGGUGUUUACAAAAGUCAGGGUAUCGAGUCCGGGUUCCGGGCAAUCAGGCAGGCAAUAGCAAUAAUAGUCUAGAACCCCUAAAACCAGGGUCAACUAAUCAAAUGGCUAAUCUAUUGGAGUAGCAGGCUAGGCAGGUUAGGAAGCAGUGCGCAAGCAAGUACAAAUAUUACAGCAAGUUCAGUUGAGUCUUAGUCCAUUUAUUUAUUGUUGAAUCAUAUCUUAGAUAAUUGCUUAUUUGUCUUUAAUAAGUGAAAGUAUUCGAAUUGUAUAUCUGUGUUAAGGAUUAGAAUCCCGCUUCCUUAUUGUUUACAGUGUUUCUAUAUGAUGACACUAGUAUUCUAUUUGAUAAGGAUCUGUUGCAACAUAAGGAUAAGGAUAAUAAACAAGAUAAGGAUCAUCAGAAGAUCUCGGAUCAACUGCUGAAGCUAUACUAGCUAACGGAACUAAUCUACCUAUUACUGCUGCUGCUGACACAAACUCUCUCACUAGCGCACCCGCUCCAUACUCCACUUUAACAAUAGGGCGGGGACCCUAAAUGGAAUUGAAAUAAGUCGCACAACAUUAUAGAACCAAGUAACGAAACAAACACCCUUAUUAAGUGCCUAAGUAGGUCCAGACUUAUCUUACCAACAUACCUUUGGAAGCUAAUGCUGUGGGAGUGAAGUCUACUAUCAUUGGUGCUCGAGAGAUUCAAUUAAAGGAAGCAGCAAGAACAAGUAAAGUGACAGCGUCUGCAAGUGAGGUUUAGUUCGAGGAAGAAUCCCAUCUCAAGUCAGCAGUUAGAUCAGUUCCUGUUAUAGUGCCCGUUGUUGGUGACGAGUAUCUUUGUGAAUGAGUUUUCUGUUUCUUUGUUGACGACGAGCGGGAGAGCAAUCUUUCAUGACAAAAUGCCGUAAGCCUGACAGAGGGCAAAGGGACACAUUUGAUUAGUGGAACAGGGGUGAAACUUAGCUAAAAGAAACAAAAGGGCUAUGUCUCGUCUCUGGGGAGUGGUCCAAGCAUUAAUUCCGUGGCGCUGGAUGGAGCUCCGCGUUCCCUAAACCCCUUUAGUAUAGAGUAUAAUAGGUAACAUAACCAUCAAAUCCAAUAAGUUAUGAAAUAGUUCAUUUGACACCGCUCUAUUCCUAUGGCAAAUUACUCAUUGAAACUAAGAAACUGGUGUGGUGCCUAGGACUUAAUAUAAGGGCCACUAAGAAAGUUAUUGCUCUGGACUCAGGACUACUCUACCGGUUGGGCAAGAAGUCAAGGAACACGUACGCGGAGACAAUAAGGCUUAACCAAAGAAGUAGAUGAUCCGAUCUUUUCUUCAAUGCUUACCAGGUGCCGGUAUCCUAACUCAGGUGCUAUAGUGUAACAUACCUCUUUAACUCCUAGCUCUGGUAUUCCUACUUGUGAGUGGAAGUAUAAAGAUAGGUUGGUACUUACUUGGCCCGGAGAGUUAUUGUGGAAGAAGAAAGUACUGGUGGCAGAGCAAGCUAAUUCCAUGACUGUUUUCGGGGGAGUAAAGUUUCCAGUGUGUUGGAGAUGAGUCCCCUUCCGCCCUUAACCCUUACCUUACUUGAUACUUAAUUAGGCUAAACUUUCACUCCAUUCUUUGGACCACACCUAGCUUCAGCAGAUGGGCAUUCUUUAUUCCAUUCUGAAAUUCUACCUUAUAACAGAACUUGCGCAGAGUAAACUCAAUUCUGAAACGUUAACUUUAGGGAAAGAGUACUAGGUUAGUGACAUCUUCUAUCUCUUAAGGCAGAGAAGCGGUAAGUAAACUCCAUUCUGGUAUUCUCACUUUUGAGAAAGAGCACUAGGUAGGUUAGUGACCAAUAUCUAUAACACAGAGCAAAAUCCUCUUCGAUGGUUUUCUACCUUCAUAGCAAAAUCCUAUUGUCGGCUUGUCUUAUAGCUCAGCAGAUAUAUAAGUAUUCCCCCGGAAUUACUGUAUUUCCAUCUCUACAGUUUGAAGUCAUAAUUCAGUGUGAGUUGCCUGAGUCGAGGUAGGCAAGAGAACCAGUUAAGUCUUAAGUAGAGGCCAGGCCGGUAACUCACCUACUAAGGGAUGAGAUGGAAAGGUAUGGUUGCACAGGACUUGGUUUAUUACUUACUAUGUGUUUUAAGAAUCAAGUUAGAUGAGAAAGCAUCUUGUUUAGAUGAGCCAGAGUGGAGGUCUCAAGGGAAGCAAUGAAAGCUAUCCGGUCUAAUGAAACCAGAAAACAAUCAAUUAGAAAUCACAAAUAAUCUAGAGCCAAGCACCGACAGUCAGGCCUCAAUUCUAGUGCUCGUGCUCCUUCCUUUAAGAAUAUAGUUUACUUACCAACAGGACUACCAGGGGCAGGCAACCACUGAGGAAUUGCAUUUGGAGCCUAUACAAAGGGAAAGGGGUUCGGGGAAGUAAAGAGCAUAGAGAGCUAGAGGGUUAACAAACAACUGAACAAUCAACGAAACCAGCAAGAUCCAUAGAGCAGGAACAGCCCUUAAGUGAAUUGCAUUGUCUGCAAGAUCAUUCUAUUUCUUGGCAUCCUCAUCCUUAACUUAACUACUACAGGAUGCGGGUAAGUUUCAAUCAAGUAAGAGGCUUUGUCUAGUGAAUCUCGCUUAGUGGAUCUCGCCUAGUAUAGCCUUAACUUAACCAAGAUGUGUGCGAUCAAGAAAAGGGGUAUAAUAUCCUGCUUGUCUAUUUAUUGAAGUGUGAGUUGCGCUAACUUCAAGUUGGAGUUGCGCUCUAACCUAACUGAGUCUUUCUUAAUCAUCGGGGCAUUAGGGAGUUCUGGGUGCCGACAUCAAUCUUCUAUUCUACGGGAACACGCAAGGUUGAGUUGAGCUGAUUGGUUACCGCCAAUUCCGUUUUAGGGGGCUCCGUUUCACAUGGGUAUUACCACGAGACUAGAAUAGAAUGGCCUUAUUGACUUGACUUUAUUAUUGCCUUCUUCAGCGCCCAGCCCUUUGACUUAGUUUGACCCCUUUGUUAUCUCACUAACGCUAUUGGGCCUUUCGUGGAAUAAUGGAAGUGUUACCUUAUUCUAUAGGAACGUAAAAUCACUGCUUACUGCAGGCUCUGCUCUACCUAACAAAACAGCUCAAACCCAUAAGUUAACGCGCAAUGCUUUCUGCUAACGCACAAUGGCUUGUUGCUUUUUGAAUCGAAUUUGAAUGAAUAGAAGAAUAAGUAACAUACGAUAGAAAUCUUGAAACUAACAGCUUACUCCUUACUCUCCUCCUAUCCGGACAGCGGACUCUUAAGCAAAGCAAUAGGUACCUCCUGACCUUAGAUUGUACUUCUAUAUUUGCCAUGAUUUGAGAAAUAGUCGAAAUACCAAGAAAAUCCUCUUCCUAUUGAAUGAAUGCAAACGAAAAUACAUUGAUCCUCGUUUUCCCUCGCCCUGUGUUAGCUGUCCCAUAGGCUUUAAUAGCUUCUCCCAGUUCGAGUUCCUGCUGCUUGUGCUCUGGCUCGAAGGUUCCCGCGGAAAGAGUCAGUAUCGUACUAUCCGUUCACACUAGCAUACGUAGGUCAGUAUCAGCUUGCUUGUGUGAGUUCUUUUCGGGAGUGUUUCAUUAAUGGCAUAUUCAGAGCUGUCUCAGUUGCCGUUAAGGAUCAUAGCUCCUCUUCUCUCGUUAAACCCCAGUUUUUCUUCUUCUUGCCUUAGAGGUAUUCUUCUCCUUUUGGCUUCAUCAGAGUUCUCCCCUUCAUCGCCUACGCUUGUAGCUUCUGGAACUCUACCCUAACUUUCGAUCUACCCCUUCCCUUUAGAAUAUGCACACAUAACACAUAUGUGGGAGAUGCACCUUAUUAACAGCAGAAGAAUGGGAACCUUAUCUUUCAGAGAAGAAGAAUGGAAUGGAGUGGCCCCUAGGAGCAGCGCUCAAGAAUCUCCGUGAAUGGCACCGAGGAGCAGCGCUCAAGAAUCUCAUUGAGUCACAGCACAGUUAGAGAAAUAGAAACUUCGCCGUUGUUGCUUGUUCGCAUAUUAUGGAUGGUCGUUAGUAAAAAGCUUAUUCCUUCCCUUUGGCUUCUAACGCGCUGACUUUCUUAUAUGUUGUUUCUUAUAUGUUGACUUGUUUUAUUAAUACUCGAAAGAAGGACCGCCCUAUACAAUGGUACUGUACUUGACUGAAUUCUUGCCCGGCGCCACAGAAAGAAAUAGGCGUUAGCGCAACUCCCUAAAGCGCUUAACGUUGUUUGUUCCCCGCCCGAACACAUAAUGCUUGCUCGAAUUCCAGUUUUCGCCUCCCUCUCGCCAACCUCGUUAUUUUUCCUUAUAGAUAAAAAACACUUUAUGCCUAGACCCAUCAUAUUUACAAGCAGUAGUAGGUCCGACGCUUAGUAAUAGAAUUGUUGAUACAGAAACCCUUGCUUGUUGAGUUAAGUGAGUAGAGAUUCUUUCUUAUCAAUUGAAGUAAUUAAGGCACUUGUGGAAAUUCCUGUGUUACAGUAGCUACAGGCUAAUACUCUAGCGUGGGCAUACCGAUUUUACACAUAGGAGAGAUAGACUAACAAUAGUACGGCAUGGAAGAGCAAUAAUAGACAGUAGGGGAAGGCACAUAGGCAGAAGCGAGGUUCGGGGUCAACAGUAGAAUCAUCUAAGACAAAAUACAGGUGGAAAGGCAGGCUUGUUAGUCAGUAGGGGCAGGAUAAUAGAAGGUCUAGUCAGAAUAAGAGAUCUAGAUAUCGUAUUUGAAUAAAGGGAGGGGGACUGAUCUACGGGAAAGGUAGAGUGAAACACGGGAUAAGUAAUCAAACAAGUCAAUCUAAUACUUUACCCAAGGGGAACAGGACAGACCGAUAGCCGUUAUAGUCAGAAUGCGGUAGGAUAAGUCGGGUUGAAGCAAACACAAGUAAGUUGGGCUUGGAAGUUAAUGAAGUGAGGCUCGGCUACUGGUGAGUUAGGCUUGGGUAGUUAAGUUCCAUUCCGAUUUCCACUAUUUCACUUCUGAGUUUGUAUGCGCUGGAUCAGCGUAUCUAUUCUCUUAUCCUAACAUAUAAUAGUAGAAUGUCCUUCCUACAGCUAUUUCUGAUCUCAAAUCUUUAUUUCACUUACCCUUCCUUUAUACGAUGAAACUAAGGUCGAGCCAAUCAAUCACCUGAACCCUGCCAAUAACUCUAACUAAUGACUCGAGCUCCGCCAAGCAACUACGGCUGGGUAAGAGAAGGAGUGAACCUUUCAUAUAAGUAAUGGCAAGCUGCUUGAAUCUAAGGGAAAGCUACUACGGCUGCAAGGCAAGCUUAGGGAUGAGCCUAGACUUAUGGAAUCCGCCCAGCUCCAAGCCUAUUUCAAUUGUGACUGUAGUGGUUAGUUACUUAUUCUAUUAUGCCUCUCUGCGUCUAAUGAUUGUGUUUAUUCCCGGGAAUUGGUACCUCGAUCAGGCUUAUCAAGAAGAUAGAGUCAAAGGCUAAGGCUUAACCGAGCCGAGUAGAGAUCCAGUCCAAGCAUAAAAGAAAAUGAAGUCAGUCAGCAGCAAGCUGUUCUGAAACUAGAGUUCGGGCAAGAUAAGGAAUUCCUCACUGAAAGGUAAAGGAGAGAAGUCGGGUGCUUGUGUUAAGAAAGUAGUCAAUCGAGAACCUUUGCCCGGCUUGCCUGAUAGCCAAUAGUAUAGGAAUAAUCAAUUACCAAGUCCAGUGCCCGUGCCCUUGAUUAAUGCCCUAAAGAUAUAGGCACUAAAUGAAUUUCUUGAACAGGGAAGAGAAGAUGAUAGGUCAUUUCCCAUAAAACAACUAUAGUGUUGAAAUAGUGCAUUUGAACCUAACAUCUUGAUGGUUCCUUGCUUUAUAACCAAGUCCUUUGUAUUGGGCGUAAGAAAGAGGAAUUACUGAAUUUCACUAAGUAGUCAAAGAGACAAGAGAAUCAGUAGUUGUAAGAGAGGAUGUAGAUCCGGGUAACUAACCAUGGGCUCUAAACUUCAAAUAUCAGAAUGAAACUAGAGCGACUCUCUCCCGUAGUAGAAACCAUCCCUUUCAAACAAAGAAUGCAACUCACAAAUAGGAGAACUCAACUCUCAAGUCAGUAUAAUCAUAAGACGAGCACGAGCACUGGAGUUAGAGCCGGAGUUAUAGGAUAAGAAUGAAGUGACUAAGGAGCCAGCAAGCUCAGAAGUCGGAAAGGAAGGGUGGUUAGAGACCUUCCUAGGAAUAAGGAAUUUCAGAAUGAAACCAGUGAGUAACAGAAUGAGACCGGGUAGACUCAGACUGAACCAAGUAAGUAAGCAAAAGGGAAGCAGUGCCAGGAAAGCAGUCCGCAGUGAGAGUUUCGGUUGGAAAUGAAUAAAGUACUUGCUUUGAUGCGAGGCGAUAGUAGCAACAGUAGGAGUGAGUUUAGAUAGUAGCAACAGUAGUAGUGAGUGAAAAAGUGAACUAUACUAAAGAAUGAGUUGCGCUUGUAAAGUAUACUUGUUCAGGUAAAGAAGUCAGACUUAGCGGGACCAAAAACCUCUUCCCCAAUAAUAACUAUUUCUAUACAAUACCCUGAUCCUGCUUAAGAUCCUGUUGCCAAUGCCAUUAACUUAAGGGCUGCUUGUAAACUAAUACUUAAUUGGAUCUUUCUUGCUCCCGUUAGCGAGUUGAUCUUGAGUUGCCUGUCCCCGAGACUUCUAUUGAUACUUCUCCUACUCCGGACAUACACUUGCUUCUGGUUCAAAGCCUGUCUUAUUACUUUCACCGGAUAGAUUCUUUUCCUUCACUUUACUUUCGAACAUCAUUUCCUAGCACAGAUCCUGAUCCUUAUUUAGCCGACCCGACCUAUCCUUUUCUUUGUUUAGGGUGCUGCUUACGCUCUUUGUACUUGAUCUAGUAUAUGCUUGGUUUGGGCUUUCAAAGUAGUUUCGUGGAGUUCGGUGCUAUAGUAGAAUCCCGGUAGUACUGUUCGAGUUAAGUUCUAGCCUGAAUCCCUAGUUUCCAGUGAGGGUCUUGUUGGGCAGAAGAUGGAUCAAAAGAUAGAGAUGAAAUUCAAAGAGGAGAGUGAGAAACACCCUGGACUACUCCGCAUAUAGUAAUAGAACUAUCAUACCUAGCUAAUUCUACUACUCCGAGACUCAUUAAUAAGAAGAGAGGCCAAGCAACAAUAGUAGUCAAGAGGAAAGAAAAGAAAGGAGCGCAGAGGAAGGGGCGAGGAAACUCAGAGCAGAGAAGGAAAGCGCACGGGAAGAGGAAGCAGCAAACUCAGGCGCUUGGAACGUAAAGCAGUAAACAUUGGUUUAGGGAGAAUUCACCGUAAAGCUAUCAUCAGCAAAAGAGUGAAGCGGGAAGAAGUAGGUUUCAUAUAUAAGGAAAAGAGAGAAAUUGCGAGAGAAAGCAAGCUAGAAUACUCAAUAAGUUUGCAGCGGUUUGUCAGGUUCGUUUAGCUAUUAGCAAGUGUGAAGUCUGUCUCAAGAAGCAACGAGGAAUCCACUUUGAUUUCAAUUGUUCAGUACGAAAAAAAGGGAGACCCCCGCGUGGGAAAGUUUCUUAGUGACAUUUGUAAAUGAAUAGCAAAGAUACCAACAAUAAUGUCCCUACCACAUAGUGUUGUUGUAAAGGUGGCAAAGAGAUCUCCGCAGCGAGAGGCAGCACGGUAUUUGUUCCUUUUGAGAGUCUGUCUCCCUUUGGUAAAAUAGGGUUGGCCAGAUAGAGAGAGGGACCGAGCGCCCGAAAGAGAGGGACCCGGACACAGGACUUCCCGCUGUGCUUACUUUCUCUCUACAGCAGAAAAUCGACUUGCUCUUCAUCUUGGCACUCGUAAACAAGACUUGCUCUUCACUCGGGUUUCUUGCUUAGCUCUUGUAAUUCCACUUGUAAGUAUAAGGCAUUUGGCAAUAAUUGAAUGAAAAGAUGCUAGUAAACAGGUGAACUCAGGAAUAGUGCUCCUAUCCAGCCUUUCAGAAUGCGGACUCUGUGGAUGCUGACUUAGCGGUUGCUUGAGAUGAGAUGAGAGCCUGAGAUGAGGUCGGCAGGAGCUAUGGCCAAGUCCUGUCUUCGUAGAUGUUUUCGUACGAAGUUAUUACAAUAUAUGUUUUCGAUGGCAAACUCAUAGGUGAAAUAAACACUUAGUUCUAUCUGUAGGAGCGCUAGUUUGAAACCAAGGAAUAGAAGAAUCGAGGUUUAACAUGCAUAAUGGAAUUAAUGUAACAUAAGUGUAAGCCUAGAGGCAGGGACGUAAGAAGGAUCGACAUACUUAAUAAUAGGAACAUAGGAUCCGGGUAUCUAUUGCGAGUGUUGCUAUCAGCGGGGUCAUUCCAAGUUGCUUGUUUCUUCUUUAGUUCCCCAGGAAUACAGCCUCGCUUUAGCUAAUUGAGUUCUUGUUAUCCGUGUUUGGAUUCCCUAUUUCUAUAGGUUGGUUCUGUAUAGUAGUAGAUGGAUUCCUCUUUCUGUCCUUAGUUGGCUUCUCAGUUGAAAGUCUUAAUCAAAGGGGCGUAGUUGGAGACUUCAAGCAAGGUGGGUGAGACUUAGAUGAAGUAGUAGCGGACCUCUUACCUUUUAUUAGAACUAGUAGACAGUAGAGUAAGCCUGAGCAGUGUGGUUAAGUAGGGUAAGCAUUGGUUCCAUUCCCAGUUUUCAGGUGGUUUAGUUAUAAUGUCUCUUGUUGCAGUGUCUCGCUUUUGAUAGUGGAGUUCUUUAGCUCCGUUUUCAUUAUUACCGGUAAUAGCAGCACAAUAAGAUAAAGCACAGUCUCAGUUUGGGAUAAAGCAGUGCCAGACCAGACCGAUGGAAGGGCUGUUUGGUGGAGUCAGGGUAGUAAGCCUAGUGGGCGGGAGCCGCAGGCUGAGAUAAAGCAAAGCAAGGUUUUACGUCAUUAGCGGAAGAGUUAGCUUAGGGCAUACGCCUUGUUAACAAUAGGGAGAUUCUAGCGGGAGUCCACAACAAACAAAGACUUCUAUUUAAGAGUUGGAGACACGGAAGGCAGCUAACGAAUAUCCGUUUUAGAGCUAGGAUUGAUUACCAGAAAUAGAGUUAGGAGUACCGAGUGAGAUAAAGGGCCAAGCAACAGUACUAGACUUCGGUCAAUCGGUGGUCUAGUUCCAUUCCUUUACUUAAUAGUUCCAUUCCUUAUUCUUAGGUUGGACUAGUUCAUUCGUCGACUUCCGUACUUAUAGCUUCCUAGCCCAGCUGCUUCUCUCGUAGACCUAAAUCCACUCCCUUACCUUACACAGGACUUGGACCACUACUUGGGACUGUAAACUGGGGCUGUAAACCUAGCUCCUGCUUAUAUCUCUAACCUAACCUAUAUCCUAAUUCUGUUUCUUCGGGUUUCCUAUAUAUAGAGAAAUACGGAAUUUAGGAGUGGACAUGCGGACUGAGGUGAUAGAUUGACUACUUGCUUAACACAAGCACCCGACCUAUACAUUACUUCUAAGCCAACUACUACUGAUUCACAACAGGACUACUAUACUUAAUGAGCACUUCCACUAUCACUCGAGCAGGACUACCCGGGAUUUUGGAUAGCAAAUGGAGAAUCUCUCCUCGGAUCUAGCCUCUGAUCUUGCUCUUCUAACUCUCCCUAGCUACGAACCUAGACAAUUAAGUCAAACUUGAAACUACACUUUCUACUUUCCCUCGCCCUGGAAAUCUAUCUACUUAAGGACUGACUGCUGAAGAUACUGAUGUCUCAACUCGCCCCCCCAAGAGACUCCUACCACUUAGUGACCGCAACUCUGGCUCUUCUCACUACAAACCCUUACUUAUUAAAGCUGCUUGUACCGGUCCCAUAUUCUCGAUUGACUCAUCGCUUCCCACAAGCAAACUUACAAUAAGGGCCUCUCCUCUGGACUAGCUUGCCUACCUCAACUCUCAAGUCAGAGUUUAACUCACACCUAGGAAUACGGAAUUACAGAAUUGCACUAAGUAGUCAAAUCCAUCUCUUUGAACUCUUCUUAUCUUCAGCGGAGUGCUUUAAGCUGUUGUUCAGUCUGGAAUAGAUGUGUUUGACUCCUAUCUUUGAUUUUCUUAUUCAUGUGAAUGGAAUCCCAGUCCUACACAAGAAGAAAGGCCUUGGCUCUUUAAAGUCAGGCGUUAGAUACUUGUUUUCUAUGUGAAGUAAGUACGCUUGUAUGAUAACGAUACCAAAAAGAAGAGUUCCCGGCCCAGCAACUAGGCCUUGGCCGCUCUAUCAGUUUCCUUUCCUUACAACACUGGCACACAAAGGGAUUCUUCUUAUAGUAGCCUGUUUUUCAUUGAGUGUCAUUCUUAUGAGAUAUAGGUUACGGUGCAUUCUUAUAAGAUAUAGAUAGGCCAGGGGACAGCCCAUAAUUAGAGUGCUAUGUCUUUACUGGAUUUCUUUAUAAAUAAUAAAUAUAAGAUUCCUUUCUUAACCCCGCAAAGUCAGUAAACCACCCAUCUUAAUCAUAUAGACCAAGUAAGUAAGUAAGUAAAGGAUAGUUAGUAUAAGUAUGAGUAUCCUUAGCAACCGUAGUUCUCAUAUGACCAAUUACCAGAGUAAGAGUUUACCUCCCUCUUUGCCCAGCCUCAUAAGGAUCUGGAUCCCAGUCCUGUUUCCGCUACUCUGACUUCCCUUUCCACUCCCCUUAUAUACAAGUUCUAGGAAAACCCAUCUAAAUUCUAUCUUUGAAUAUAAUAUAACUGAUUCAACCUUACUCCUAGAGAUCCUGGACUCUGCAACUUACAAUAAGGGCCGAAGAAGUUGAUACCUUCUUUACCUACCCGUGCCUCUACCUACUCCUCUAGACUAUCUUCUUGCCACAACUCGUGUAUACUCGGUUAAGCCUUACCUCUGUCAACUAACUACUACUGAGAAAACAGCUGACCUUGCAGACCUCCUAAACAGCUUCCCUAAGGCUUAUCAACUAGAUCCAUCCCUUAUGCAAACCUAUAUUUGCCGUAAGCCGCUAGUGCUCUGUAAACUCACACUGAUUCCUCUGUCCACUACUACUUAUUCACAACUGGUUUCACUCUUGCCCUGACUGGUUGCAUUGUUUGACUACUGAGUUUCACUCUUUAAUGAGUUAGCUCAAUUCUAACUUCCCUAAUAGCUGACCUCUGAGUGGAAUUCUGAUCUGAGCAGCUAUAGCAGCAGCUGCAUUCUCUGUUGUACGAGUUUCAGUCUGAUUGUUAGGCUUACUACCCCUACUUUAGCACUGGAACUGGGGCAGCAGACUUAACUCGAGUCAUCGAAACCCUUGUUUUUUCAUAGCACCCCCGUUUUCCCUACAAGAUCACCCAAAAUGACUUCUUUUUUGAUGAAACCCCGGGCCAAGCAACUUCUAACGUUGCGCUAAGGAGCUACUCCAUUCCCACUCCGAUCCGACCUAAACUAUGGCUCUGUACUUUUGAUAAAGAUUCUAUUGAACACUUAGAAAUCACAGAAUUCACUGACCAUUGAUUAUAGUGCGCACUACCUUCGUAUACUGAUCUUUCAAGCUCUAAUUCCCCUUUCGCAUUAAGUACUUACGACUUUGUCGACUUUGCCAGGUAAGGUUAGCCAGGUCAGCGGGGUAUAACUGUAAACUCUAUUUUCUUCAGUGGUUUCAUAUAUAAAGAGAGUCCAAGUUAUCCGCCAAGGAACAUAGUAAGUGUAGUGG
This 42582-nucleotide long non-coding RNA is filed under the name Musa acuminata (dwarf banana). RNAcentral describes it as "long non-coding RNA (MACU_LNC007626)". The stretch from base 5445 to 5516 matches the Rfam family "tRNA". Lineage: Eukaryota; Viridiplantae; Streptophyta; Magnoliopsida; Zingiberales; Musaceae. The record is from RNAcentral.